AUUAAUUUCUGAUUAACAACAAUUAAUAGGAUUAAAAAACAAAAUCAAAACAGAAAGGGGAUUAGGUUACAUGUUUGGUAGCUUUCACGUUAGUAAUGUUUCCCUUAUUCAACGUACAAAGAGCGCCGCUCCUCCCAAUCUUCUUCUCCGAUUGAACUCGUCGACACCACCAUGAGCCAACGUCUCGUCCUCCGCCCGUCUCAAUCUCUCGAUUCCAUCUCCGUCUUGAGUUUCCGAUCUCUCUCAAUCGAAUGCAUUCUCCAAUUCAAAUUACCGGAGUUUGUCCGGUGUACCUCCACUACCGAUGAUGUUAAGAAAACUAGAGAACAUUCAAGAACCGGUUGCUAGCUGUGCAAAGUUGAAGGUGAUGAUACUCAUGAAAAGUGGAGAUUGAAGAUGAUGAAUCGGUUAUUCAAGAUGAAGAUUCGAGAGAGAAUUGAAGAAGUUUGUUACAUUUUCGGUUGGAGGCGAGUUCUAAUCUAUUAUGUUUUUCUUAUUCUCUUCUCUGUUCUUUUUGUAAUAGAGGUUAUUGAUUCUGGACGAAGGUUGAUGAUGAGGAUGAUGAACACGGUUCAGAGAUCCAGAGAGAGUGAGGGAAAAUAUGAAGGAGAUUGAAGGUUUUUGUGGUAUGAAUCUAAGAAUUCUAUUGAUGGUGAUGGAGAUGGUUGAGAUGAGUAUUGAAGAUUGGAGAAGUGUUGUGAUUGAAGGUGAAGAUGAAUGUUAUGAAGAAGGUCGAUUCAGCGAUGGUGCAAAAGAUUGGAGAGAGAGGUUUGUUAUGCAACUCGGAUUUGGUCCCUCGAUGCGCAGAGCUGCCUCUUUGUCUUUUGCGUCGGAAUAUGAUGUUGUAACCAACCAUGGUUUAGAUGUAAUUAAUUCCUUUGCCACUAUUUAUGUAAUUCAAAUCAUUAUAAAAUGGAUAUGCUGGAAUGUAGCGUGUAUGAACUUUAUGAAUUUUGUAUAAUGAUGGUUGUACGGAAAAUUGAAUGAGAACUUGAAUUUUUGGAUGAAUAAUAGUGUAUGUUUUUGUGUUA
Vicia villosa (hairy vetch) is the source of this 1031-nucleotide long non-coding RNA. RefSeq lists it as uncharacterized. The record is from RefSeq and is a predicted model, not a curated record. Lineage: Eukaryota; Viridiplantae; Streptophyta; Magnoliopsida; Fabales; Fabaceae. The transcript is spliced from 3 exons.